CCUACGGGAGACAGCAGUGAGGAAUAUUGGACAAUGGACGAGAGCCUGAACCAGCCAAGCAGCGUGAAGGAUGACUGCCCUAUGGGUUGUAAACUCCUUUUAUAUGGGAAUAAAAUGUACCACGUGUGGGAUUUUGUAUGUACCAUAUGAAUAAGGAUCGGCUAACGUCGUGCCAGCAGCCGCGGUAAUACGGAGGAUCCGAGCGUUAUCCGGAUUUAAUGGGUUUAAAGGGAGCGUAGGUGGAUUGUUAAGUCAGUUGUGAAAGUUUGCGGCUCAACCGUAAAAUUGCAGUUGAAACUGAUGUUCUUGAGUGGGCGAGAGGUAUGCGGAAUGCGUGGUGUAGCGGUGAAAUGCAUAGAUAUCACGCAGAACUCCGAUUGCGAAGGCAGCAUACCGGCGCCCAACUGACGCUGAGGCACGAAAGCGUGGGUAUCGAACAGGAUUAGAUACCCCAGUAGUC
This 460-nucleotide ribosomal RNA is filed under the name uncultured bacterium. RNAcentral's name for it is "partial 16S ribosomal RNA". It matches the Rfam family "Bacterial small subunit ribosomal RNA", at positions 338 to 795 of the family's 1533-position model. The record is from RNAcentral.